This 334-nucleotide long non-coding RNA is filed under the name Androctonus crassicauda. Lineage: Eukaryota; Metazoa; Arthropoda; Arachnida; Scorpiones; Buthidae. The record is from RNAcentral.
GAACUCUACAUUGUUAAGAGUGUGGUUUGUAGUUUUCCUUGUGUGUGUCAUGUUUAUUCGUCUCUUGCUAGGGUGCAUUUCAUGGCUAUAUUAUGAGGAUUGCUGAUAAGUGGAAAGGUGUUAUUGGUGAUUCUCACAAUGGGACCACUUUUAAUGUAAACCUACAGAAUGUUAUGAAAGAUAUUUGUUUGUUUUGUGAUAAGAUAUCCAAAAAUUUUAAAAAUAAACCUAGUGUUAUAUGGUGGAGUAAAAAUUUGAGUAUAAAAAAGGAAGCAAAUUAUUGCUUCCAGGAGAAGAUAUUAGAGAAAUAACAAUGAGCUUUUAUAUGUCAAGU